GCACAAACAUUUCUACAGGGGAGGAGGUUGCCAUCAAGUUAGAAUGUGUCAAGACAAAGCACCCACAGCUUCACAUAGAAAGCAAGUUUUACAAAAUGAUGCAGGGGGGAGUGGGGAUCCCUACCAUCAAGUGGUGUGGCACAGAAGGAGAUUACAAUGUCAUGGUGAUGGAGUUACUGGGUCCUAGUCUGGAGGACCUAUUCAACUUCUGUUCAAGGAAAUUCAGUCUGAAAACAGUGCUCCUGCUGGCAGAUCAGCUGAUAAGCCGCAUUGAAUAUAUACAUUCAAAAAAUUUCAUACACAGAGAUGUCAAACCAGACAACUUUUUAAUGGGACUGGGCAAAAAAGGAAACUUGGUCUACAUUAUAGACUUUGGCCUUGCCAAAAAAUACCGUGAUGCUAGAACGCACCAACAUAUUCCAUAUAGGGAAAAUAAGAAUCUCACAGGGACUGCUAGAUAUGCAAGUAUAAACACACAUUUAGGCAUAGAACAAAGCAGGCGAGAUGAUAUGGAAUCAUUAGGCUAUGUAUUUAUGUAUUUCCUACGUGGAAGCCUGCCUUGGCAGGGCCUAAAAGCUGCAACAAAAAGACAAAAAUACGAAAGGAUAAGUGAGAAGAAAAUGUCUACACCAAUUGAGGAGCUGUGUAAAGGAUUUCCCUCGGAAUUUGCUACAUACCUCAACUUCUGUCGCUCUCUGAGGUUUGACGACAAACCUGAUUAUUCCUAUCUUCGGCAACUCUUCCGAAACUUAUUCCACAGACAGGGGUUCACAUAUGACUAUGUAUUUGACUGGAAUAUGCUGAAAUUUGGUAGCAGUCGGAGCAACGAGGAAUCGGAAAGAGAUCGACGGGACCGCCACGUACAUAGUUCAACUACGCGUGCGCUCCCCGGCACAGCACAAGGUCGUACACGCAGCACAGAACAAGCCAUGCCCAGCCCUGGUGCUGAUUACGCUGGUAAGCGAGGCAGACGGCCUGGCAAAGCCAAGGUCAAGCAGGCUAAACUGACUUGAACAGUAGAUGUGUUCUGAUGUGUGCGUACCUAGUUUCCACUUGGAAUUUAGACAGUAUUAUGGUCAUAAGAGAAAUUUUUUUAAUGACAAGACUAAUCAUGCAAUAUUGAAGAUUGAACAAUCAUUAUCAGAGUGAACAGUUAAAAUGUUGCAAUUGAUGAUUACUUAGGUUGUUUUGCUGUUGAUUUAAUGUGAAAAUCAAAUAAUGCAUUGAGGUUGACCUCAGUUUUGUUGUAAUAGUUUGAUUGUUUCAAAAGAGCGAUUAUAAUAACGAUGAUCUUUGCAUUUAUGAUGUGAUUAUGACUGCUGCAUGUUGCUGCCCUGUUCAAAUAUUUGAUUUGUGAUUUUGAAGCUUUGAGAAUUUCUAGCUGUAGGUUUUAUGCUUUAACUCUUCAAAAGAGACACUAUGACUGAUAUUUAAUUAACAUUUAAAAAAAAAAAGCUUAAAAAUGAUGUCUUUAAAGAUUUAUUUUUUCAUUUUGGUUCAUUAAUACAUUUUCCCAUAUGCUGGCAGAAGUUCCUGCUUAAAUGUGAUUUCAAUGCUGAUUUGCCCUCCCUUGUUUCACUGAAAGAAAAAAAAGCCAAAUAUGGUGAAUUGCCACAUAUUCCCUAAAAUGAAAACUGCAAGUGUAAUUUGCUGAAAGUUGUCCUGCUUCAGUUUCUGUAUUUAAAAUGUAUGGGUAGAAUUAACAGGAAUGUUGUUGACAAAGUGAUGGCAUUAAUUUUUUUUCACCAGUUUUGUAUGGCAUGUAAUAUAUUUACUAGAGAUAGUUCAUUGAAAUACAUUAUAUGCUUAGCCAAAUAAACAUUUCUUGUGCGUCUGAUGAGCUGUAGUGAAUAACCCAGCACAAGUUCUACAUAUAUACAACUAGUAACAAGCAGCAUGAUGAUGAGGAUGAUGGUGGUGAUGAAUGAGAAAUAAACACACUGAACAGCUACUUGUUUUCUUCUUAUUUGAGGUGCCCUGCCCAAUGCUUGUCCCACAG
This 1999-nucleotide unclassified non-coding RNA is filed under the name Lingula anatina. Its description in RNAcentral is "casein kinase I, transcript variant X4". Lineage: Eukaryota; Metazoa; Brachiopoda; Lingulata; Lingulida; Lingulidae. The record is from RNAcentral.